This is a long non-coding RNA of Passer domesticus (house sparrow), 1312 nucleotides long. RefSeq lists it as uncharacterized. The record is from RefSeq and is a predicted model, not a curated record. Lineage: Eukaryota; Metazoa; Chordata; Aves; Passeriformes; Passeridae. The transcript is spliced from 3 exons.
UUAACAGGUGACCAUGGCAGACCUGCUCUGAGGCAGACUCAUUUCAGGUCCAACAUGGAUUCACAUCACCGGUCAUCCAAAAGAUAAGUUGGGGGCCACGGCCUGGAGAUGGGAGGAUAGGAGAGUAGUGGGUUGGGAAUUCCUGGGACAGAUUUAAAAAUUAGCAGAGGGUAAAGGGAUGUCCUGUAAGUGGCCACUUAAGACAGCAUAAGGGAGACACUCUACCUCUGAAUGCAGCUGUAGGAUGUGCAGUGCAGAACAGUUCUGGUCUAUGUUGUGUUGUCCGGUGUACUGUUACCUACUGUGUGUUUGGGCCUUCUUGGAUCAGAUAUCUCUGCCUUUUCCUGUCAAGGCCCUUACCACAAGCAUCAGCCAUCAUCUCUAGGUUCUCAAAGGCUUUCACUUCUCGGUAGGAUGCCGAUAUCAUUCGUUCUUUUACCGGCGGGCUUGACCGUGUCUCCGAGUUACAUCUCAGAAGCAUCGAGUCAGAUGUCUCUUGAGGCCUUGUGCCUGGCUGUAUCACCAUCCAUCCUUUCCAGCCAUGAGCUGUAAUAUCCAGGGGUUUAUAAGAUUGUGUGAUAUGGAGAACAUUUGAAACAUAGCAUUGUCUCACAGCCAUCUUGAUCAUCAUGACCAACAGUUCAUAGAACAGGUCACUCUGUUCUAGUCUUUUCUUGUGCUCGUUGGAGGAGCCUCCUCCAUCCACUGUCACCUUAGCAUCAGUCAUCUCUUUUGGCGUUCUCUUGGUCCUUGCCAUUAUAAAUCUUGCCAGGAAAUUUUUUCUUAUCCUUGCCUCACACGGUGUGUAGCAUAAUGUGUUGUGUUUAGUGUCCCCAUUGUUUGUCAUGUCCUGUGUCACAGGUGUCUGCACAUAUUUUUGCUGGAGCUGCUCUGCCCUGCUGCAUAGUCUGGUGUAAUAGGACAAGUCUCAGGGACUUGAAAUUUGUAGUGUGGGCUGUAGUUGGACUCUAGAUGAUAUUCCUAGGUUGACCCAAGAUGUCUGGAGCUGUGAAGUGGUCCUGCAGCCCUUUGACAUUUUUCCUAACUUUCUUUCAGAUGCAGAUGGAUAAAAUCCAUGGCAGAGCGCCCCAUCCCAGAAAGUAACGCAGAAUAUCAGCAGUCAAGGCAAGGUGGUCAAGGCAAUCCAUUUGGACUAUGCAUAACUCCCCGUCACGCACUGGCCGAUAGACUGUGAUCGCUGCUCUCAUGAGCCCUGUGGAAGUAUUACAGGACUUGGUGAUGAAGCCUCUGCCUUUCCUAUUUAAAGGUGUCACCUGGGUAGCCUUUGGCAAUGGCUGAGGAGUUGCAGUGA